Molecule: ribosomal RNA, 582 nt
Filed under: uncultured bacterium
Lineage: Bacteria
Description: bacterial SSU rRNA
Rfam family: Bacterial small subunit ribosomal RNA
Source: RNAcentral
ACGGGAGGCAGCAGUAGGGAAUCUUCCGCAAUGAACGGAAGUCUGACGGAGCAACACCGCGUGAAUGAUAAAGGUUUUCGGAUCGUAAAGCUCUGUUGUUAGGGAAGAACAAGUGCGAGAGUAACUGCUCGCACCUUGACGGUACCUAACCAGAAAGCCACGGCUAACUACGUGCCAGCAGCCGCGGUAAUACGUAGAUGGCAAGCGUUGUCCGGAAUUAUUGGGCGUAAAGGGCUCGCAGACGGUUUCUUAAGUCUGAUGUGAAAGCCCCCGGCUCAACCGGGGAGGGUCAUUGGAAACUGGGAAACUUGAGUACAGAAGAGGAGAGUGGAAUUCCACGUGUAGCGGUGAAAUACGUAGAGAUGUGGAGGAACACCAGUGGCGAAGGCGACUCUCUGGUCUGUAACUGACGCUGAGGAGCGAAAGCGUGGGGAGCGAACAGGAUUAGAUACCCUGGUAGUCCACGCCGUAAACGAUAAGUGCUAAGUGUUAGGGGGUUUCCGCCCCUUAGUGCUGCAGCUAACGCAUUAAGCACUCCACCUGGGGAGUACGGUCGCAAGACUGAAACUCAAAGGAAUUGAC